CCUACGGGUGGCAGCAGUGAGGAAUAUUGGUCAAUGGCCGGAAGGCUGAACCAGCCAUGCCGCGUGAAGGUCAGUGCCCUAUGGGCGUUAAACUUCUUUUGUGCGGGAGCAAUAAUGGUCACGUGUGGCCAGACGAGAGUACCGUACGAAUAAGCAUCGGCUAACUCCGUGCCAGCAGCCGCGGUAAUACGGGGGAUGCAAGCGUUAUCCGGAUUUAUUGGGUUUAAGGGGUGCGUAGGCUGUGAGGUAAGUCAGCGGUGAAAUGCCCCCGCGCAACGGGUUGAAGUGCUAUUGAUACUGCCUUGCUGGAAUGCGGAUGCGGUAGGAGGAAUGUGUGGUGUAGCGGUGAAAUGCAUAGAUAUCACACAGAACACCGAUUGCGAAGGCAGCUCACGAAUCCGCGAUUGACGCUGAUGCACGAAAGCGUGGGUAUCAAACAGGAUUAGAUACCCCGGUAGUC
Molecule: ribosomal RNA, 460 nt
Filed under: uncultured bacterium
Lineage: Bacteria
Description: partial 16S ribosomal RNA
Rfam family: Bacterial small subunit ribosomal RNA
Source: RNAcentral